RNAcentral lists this long non-coding RNA (906 nucleotides) under Oryctolagus cuniculus (rabbit). RNAcentral's name for it is "lncRNA (ENSOCUG00000038781.1)". Lineage: Eukaryota; Metazoa; Chordata; Mammalia; Lagomorpha; Leporidae. The record is from RNAcentral.
AUGCCAUUAAAGUGUAAUUACAUUUACUGUAAAUGGGAGCCUUGGCAAGUGUCUUCUAGGAGCCGAGCGCUCCUGGAGCCUGUGACACGGAAAACCCCAAACCGCCACCGCUGGCUGCGUUCAUGGUUAGAGUUCUUAUUGUGUGUUUUGUUAGGGAUUGUUCUUAGUGUCCAGGAGCCUUUCAGAGGUAUUAGAAGAACUCGUGUCACUCCAAAGGAGAGUGAGCACCGGGCUGUUCACUCUGGGUCUUCCCUGCACGCACGAGCUGUCCUUGAGGUUUCUACGGAUCAAGUGCUGUCACAGUCAAGUGUGGCAGCUGGACAGGACGCGUUUGAAAGAGUUCCAUGAUCAUACCCAGUGACUGCCUGGUUAUUCCAUACAGAUAGCGUGCCACACUUUUGGCUCUGAUUUGUAAGUUGUUAUUUUCCUUUUAUGAAAGACUGUUUCAAGAUAUGUGACUUAUAGAUAUAUAACCUAAAAUCAUGGUAUACAUGAAAGUACUUUUAAAAGUUUGUGGAAGUGGGGAAUUAAAGGUUAAGUUUAUUUGGGGGACAACUGUCUAGCCUGGCAGUUAAGACACCAGUUAAUGCCCCUGCACCCCACACUGGAGUACCUGGGUUAAUACUCGGGCUCUGACUCCUGAUGCCAGCUUCCUGCAAGGGGGCAUGCUGACGGGCAGCAGUAAUGGCUGAAGCGUUUGGGUUCCUGCCACCCACUGGGGGAUCUGGAUUGAGUUCCCAACUCUUGACUUUGGCCACCAGCCCUGGCUUUUGUGAUCAUCUGGGGAAAGAACCAGCAGGUGGAAACUCCCUGUCUAUCUCUGUUUCUAUUGUCUCUCCACUUCUCAAAUGCAUUUUUCAAAAAUUUAAAAAUAAAAAUAAGUUUUUUGAUGUAAAUUUUUUAAGU